UACGGAGGGUGCAAGCGUUAUCCGGAUUUAUUGGGUUUAAAGGGUCCGCAGGCGGACUUAUAAGUCAGUGGUGAAAGCCUGUCGCUUAACGAUAGAACUGCCAUUGAUACUGUAAGUCUUGAGUAUAUUUGAGGGAGCUGGAAUAAGUGGUGUAGCGGUGAAAUGCAUAGAUAUUACGUAGAACACCAAUUGCGAAGGCAGGUUACCAAGAUAUAACUGACGCUGAGGGACGAAAGCGUGGGGAGCAAGCAGG
RNAcentral lists this ribosomal RNA (253 nucleotides) under uncultured bacterium. Its description in RNAcentral is "partial 16S ribosomal RNA". It matches the Rfam family "Bacterial small subunit ribosomal RNA", at positions 524 to 776 of the family's 1533-position model. The record is from RNAcentral.